CACGCUUCGAAACCUCGGCACAUCAGGUCACAUCACUAGUCGGCACGUCUGGUAGCAUCUCUGGCUGCUGUUGACCUUGUUUUUGGAGUAAAACACGGUGGAAGCUGAAUUAGUGAGGAUGACUCCUGCUCCUGUCAUCUCUAAGCUCCUCACACAUCUUUACCUGCACAUGAGGAAAAUCACUCCUGUAGAAUGCAGGGUGGGUCCUACCUAGACCAGGCUGAUCCUGGACCAUCCCACAGAUGCUCAAUCAGAUCUGGAUGUGGGGAGUGUGGAACCCAGAUGUUCAGAGGGAGAUGAUGCCACAUCUGGUCCAGCUGAUGGAAGGUCUUGAAGUUCUCUGACUGGCCUCGACUGAAGAUGGUCGUCUCACUGGAUUUAAGGUUCAGAUACUCAGUAACAAACUCCACCAAUGUGCCAACAGGGAAGCUUUAGGUUUAUUAAAUGUUGCUAUGAAGGUAUCACUGUUUUUCUUUGUGAAUGCAAUGUGCUCCAACUGAAACUUGAAUUACAACUUAAAAGUAAAUCCUUCCAUCUGAAAGGAUUUAGUUGCAUUAAUAACCUCAUAACAUUCUAAUUUUUAUUCCAGUCUUGGUUGGAAAUAGAAUCUCUGUAUUGAUUCAGGUAAAAACUGAACUUCACAGCAUGUUGGAGCAAAACAACCAGAUGAAAACUGUGAUGGUGUUGGAUUAUCAGACCGUAAUGUUGCAGCUCAAAGCAGCUUUUCUAGCUCAGUUCAUUCUGACAUUCAGCUAUGAAUCAACACAGCAGAUGGUGAUCCAUGCUGUGGAAGUCUCACAUCUCCUCAUUUAAUGGAGCUGCUUUGCACUUUUUACACUGUUUAUUCACCAACACUUUAUUUAAUAAAAGUCCCAUCUAGUUUUUAUGAGGAAUGUGAUGUUUUAAUUUCUCUGUGAAUAACUGCAGUCUAAUGCAACAGCUGGAGUUGUAACAUCUGU
Amphiprion ocellaris (clown anemonefish) is the source of this 959-nucleotide long non-coding RNA. The record is from Ensembl. NCBI's taxonomy places the organism in Eukaryota, Metazoa, Chordata, Actinopteri, Pomacentridae.